AGAGUUUGAUCCUGGCUCAGAUUGAACGCUGGCGGCAGGCUUAACACAUGCAAGUCGAGCGGGGAAAGGUAGCUUGCUACCUAACCUAGCGGCGGACGGGUGAGUAACGCUUAGGAAUCUGCCUAUUAGUGGGGGACAACAUUCCGAAAGGAAUGCUAAUACCGCAUACGCCCUACGGGGGAAAGCAGGGGAUCUUCGGACCUUGCGCUAAUAGAUGAGCCUAAGUCAGAUUAGCUAGUUGGUGGGGUAAAGGCCUACCAAGGCGACGAUCUGUAGCGGGUCUGAGAGGAUGAUCCGCCACACUGGGACUGAGACACGGCCCAGACUCCUACGGGAGGCAGCAGUGGGGAAUAUUGGACAAUGGGCGAAAGCCUGAUCCAGCCAUGCCGCGUGUGUGAAGAAGGCCUUUUGGUUGUAAAGCACUUUAAGCGAGGAGGAGGCUACUUAGAUUAAUACUCUGGGAUAGUGGACGUUACUCGCAGAAUAAGCACCGGCUAACUCUGUGCCAGCAGCCGCGGUAAUACAGAGGGUGCGAGCGUUAAUCGGAUUUACUGGGCGUAAAGCGUGCGUAGGCGGCUUUUUAAGUCGGAUGUGAAAUCCCUGAGCUUAACUUAGGAAUUGCAUUCGAUACUGGGAAGCUAGAGUAUGGGAGAGGAUGGUAGAAUUCCAGGUGUAGCGGUGAAAUGCGUAAAGAUCUGGAGGAAUACCGAUGGCGAAGGCAGCCAUCUGGCCUAAUACUGACGCUGAGGUACAAAGCAUGGGGAGCAAACAGGAUUAAAUACCCUGGUAGUCCAUGCCGU
This 800-nucleotide ribosomal RNA is filed under the name uncultured bacterium. Its description in RNAcentral is "bacterial SSU rRNA". It matches the Rfam family "Bacterial small subunit ribosomal RNA", at positions 8 to 803 of the family's 1533-position model. The record is from RNAcentral.